Molecule: long non-coding RNA, 492 nt
Organism: Nerophis lumbriciformis (worm pipefish)
Lineage: Eukaryota; Metazoa; Chordata; Actinopteri; Syngnathiformes; Syngnathidae
Source: RefSeq, a predicted model, not a curated record
UUAUAAAUAAAAGCGCCAAAAUGGCGGGUCAAUUUCGGGUUUCAAAAGAGCAGGACUGUGUCACAGCAGCGAUGCAGAAACAAACUGCAGUUCACGAUUUGACCACGAGAGAGCGUUCUUGCUCCAACACAACCAGAUGAAGACCAUCACAAAAUAACAGCCAUGACUCAAGAUGGACAAAAAGACAUCCACAAAUGUUUCUGGUCAGUCUCGAGUGUUUGAUAAAUCUCUUGGCUGCUCUUUCCUGCCCAUUUGUCUCCAACGGAAGCCCCCAAUUAAAGCCUCUCAAGUGGCGCUCAUUUCCCACCCAAUGCUGCUUCAAACUUGCUGUGUGCAUGUGUGAUAUAUGUGUGACUUGUAUAUGCUUGCAGCGUUUCGUAAUGUUUACAUUCUGUUUUGUUUAAGUUUUUUUCUUUCAACAGUCAAUAAAUAACAGCUCGGACCACUUUUGCCGUCAAUAAAUGCUCAGUUGAAUUACAUUAACACCCCCCC